UACAGAGGUCUCAAGCGUUGUUCGGAAUCACUGGGCGUAAAGGGUGCGUAGGCGGCGGGGAAAGUCAGAUGUGAAAUCCGGAGGCUCAACCUCCGAAUUGCAUCCGAUACUACCUCGCUAGAGAUUUGUAGAGGAGCUUGGAAUUCUCGGUGCAGCAGUGAAAUGCGUAGAUAUCGAGAAGAACGCUCGCAGCGAAGGCGAAGCUCUGGGCAAAUUCUGACGCUGAUGCACGAAGGCUAGGGGAGCAAACGGG
This 253-nucleotide ribosomal RNA is filed under the name uncultured bacterium. RNAcentral describes it as "partial 16S ribosomal RNA". It matches the Rfam family "Bacterial small subunit ribosomal RNA", at positions 524 to 776 of the family's 1533-position model. The record is from RNAcentral.